RNAcentral lists this ribosomal RNA (465 nucleotides) under uncultured bacterium. RNAcentral's name for it is "partial 16S ribosomal RNA". It matches the Rfam family "Bacterial small subunit ribosomal RNA", at positions 28 to 523 of the family's 1533-position model. The record is from RNAcentral.
GAUGAACGCUGGCGGCGUGCCUAAUACAUGCAAGUCGAGCGGAAACAGGGAGAGCUUGCUCUCCGCUGUCGAGCGGCGGACGGCUGAGUAACACGUAGGAACAUACCCCAAAGUGAGGGAUAACUGCUCGAAAGAGUAGCUAAUACCGCAUGUGGUCUAAGGAUUAAAGCUUCGGCGCUUUGGGAAUGACCUGCGUUCGAUUAGCUAGAUGGUGAGGUAAAGGCUUACCAUGGCGACGAUCGAUAGCUGGUCUGAGAGGAUGAUCAGCCAGACUGGGACUGAGACACGGCCCAGACUCCUACGGGAGGCAGCAGUAGGGAAUUUUCCACAAUGGGCGAAAGCCUGAUGGAGCAACGCCGCGUGCAGGAUGAAUGCCUUAGGGUUGUAAACUGCUUUUAUAUGUGACGAUUAUGUCGGUAGCAUAUGAAUAAGGAUCGGCUAACUCCGUGCCAGCCGCCGCCGUAA